This 515-nucleotide ribosomal RNA is filed under the name uncultured bacterium. RNAcentral's name for it is "bacterial SSU rRNA". It matches the Rfam family "Bacterial small subunit ribosomal RNA", at positions 29 to 524 of the family's 1533-position model. The record is from RNAcentral.
AAUCAACGCUGGCGGCGUGCCUAACACAUGCAAGUCGAACGCGAAAGCCCCGCAAGGGGUAAGUAGAGUGGCAGACGGGUGAGUAACGCGUGGGUGACCUGCCUUCGAGUGGGGGAUAACGUCCCGAAAGGGACGCUAAUACCGCAUGACAUCCUGCCUUUGAACAGGCGGUGAUCAAAGCCGGGGCCGCAAGGCCUGGCGCUUGAAGAGGGGCCCGCGUCCGAUUAGCUAGUUGGUGAGGUAACGGCCCACCAAGGCGACGAUCGGUAGCCGGCCUAAGAGGGCGGACGGCCACACUGGGACUGAGACACGGCCCAGACUCCUACGGGAGGCAGCAGUGGGGAAUUGUUCGCAAUGGGCGCAAGCCUGACGACGCAACGCCGCGUGGAGGAUGAAGAUCUUCGGGUCGUAAACUCCUGUCGAGCGGGACGAAGAUCCGCGACCGAAUACGUCGCGGAAGUGACGGUACCGCUAGAGGAAGCCCCGGCUAACUCCGUGCCAGCAGCCGCAGUAAU